AUUGAACGCUGGCGGCAGGCCUAACACAUGCAAGUCGAGCGGAUGAAGGGAGCUUGCUCCUGGAUUCAGCGGCGGACGGGUGAGUAAUGCCUAGGAAUCUGCCUUGUAGUGGGGGAUAACGUUCGGAAACGGGCGCUAAUACCGCAUACGUCCUGAGGGAGAAAGUGGGGGAUCUUCGGACCUCACGCUAUCAGAUGAGCCUAGGUCGGAUUAGCUAGUUGGUGGGGUAAAGGCCUACCAAGGCGACGAUCCGUAACUGGUCUGAGAGGAUGAUCAGUCACACUGGAACUGAGACACGGUCCAGACUCCUACGGGAGGCAGCAGUGGGGAAUAUUGGACAAUGGGCGAAAGCCUGAUCCAGCCAUGCCGCGUGUGUGAAGAAGGUCUUCGGAUUGUAAAGCACUUUAAGUUGGGAGGAAGGGAAGUAAGUUAAUACCUUGCUGUUUUGACGUUACCAACAGAAUAAGCACCGGCUAACUUCGUG
Molecule: ribosomal RNA, 484 nt
Filed under: uncultured bacterium
Lineage: Bacteria
Description: partial 16S ribosomal RNA
Rfam family: Bacterial small subunit ribosomal RNA
Source: RNAcentral